Molecule: ribosomal RNA, 461 nt
Filed under: uncultured bacterium
Lineage: Bacteria
Description: bacterial SSU rRNA
Rfam family: Bacterial small subunit ribosomal RNA
Source: RNAcentral
UACGGGAGGCAGCAGUGGGGAAUAUUGCACAAUGGGCGCAAGCCUGAUGCAGCCAUGCCGCGUGUAUGAAGAAGGCCUUCGGGUUGUAAAGUACUUUCAGCAGUGAGGAAGUGGGUAUGUUAAUAGCAUAUUCAUUUGACGUUAGCUGCAGAAGAAGCACCGGCUAACUCCGUGCCAGCAGCCGCGGUAAUACGGAGGGUGCGAGCGUUAAAUCGGAAUUACUGGGCGUAAAGCGCAUGCAGGUGGUUUGUUAAGUCAGAUGUGAAAGCCCGGGGCUCAACCUCGGAAUUGCAUUUGAAACUGGCAAACUAGAGUACUGUAGAGGGGGUAGAAUUUCAGGUGUAGCGGUGAAAAUGCGUAGAGAUCUGAAGGAAUACCGGUGGCGAAGGCGGCCCCCUGGACAGAUACUGACACUCAGAUGCGAAAGCGUGGGGAGCAAACAGGAUUAGAUACCCUGGUAG